CGGGGCGUGGCUCAGUUUGGCUAGAGCGCCGCGUUCGGGACGCGGAGGUCGGAGGUUCAAAUCCUCUCGCCCCGACCA
RNAcentral lists this transfer RNA (78 nucleotides) under Planctomycetota bacterium. RNAcentral describes it as "tRNA-Pro". It matches the Rfam family "tRNA". Rfam says of the family: Transfer RNA (tRNA) molecules are approximately 80 nucleotides in length. Their secondary structure includes four short double-helical elements and three loops (D, anti-codon, and T loops). The record is from RNAcentral. Lineage: Bacteria; Pseudomonadati; Planctomycetota.